Chloebia gouldiae (Gouldian finch) is the source of this 2200-nucleotide long non-coding RNA. The record is from Ensembl. Lineage: Eukaryota; Metazoa; Chordata; Aves; Passeriformes; Passeridae.
GAAUGGCCCCAAACCAUGGGAAUGAUCCCAAACCCCAAUGGAAUGAGAGUGACCCCAAAUCCCAGGAAUGACCCCAAAACCUGGAAAUGGCCCCAAAUCCCAGGAAUGACCCCAAAUCCCAGAAAUGGCCCCAAAUCCCGGGAAUGACUCCAAACCAUGGGAAUGAUCCCAAACCCCAAUGGAAUGAGAGGGACCCCAAAUCCCAGGAAUGACCCCAAAUCCCCCAAAUAACCCCAAAACCAAGGAGCAUCCCCAAAUCCCGGGAAUGACCCCAAAUCCCAGGAAUUACCCCAAAACUAAGGAAUGGCCCCAAAACCAAGGAAUGACUCCAAAUCCCAGGAAUGACUCCAAAACCCAGGAAUUACCCCAAAACCUGGAAAUGGCCCCAAAACCAAGGAAUGACCCCAAAUCCCAGAAUGGCCCCAAAUCCCGGGAUCGGGGCUGAUCCAAACCCCCAAAUCCUUCGGGAAGGACCCCAAACCUUGGGAUUGGAGCCCGGGAAUGUGGCAAAACCCCAGAAAUCCCAAAAAACCCCCGAAAUCCCCCCAAAAAAAGCCCAGAAAUCCCAAAAAAUUCCCAAAAUCCCCAAAAUCCGCUCAUGUUCUUGAGGAAGUGCUGGGCCACAAAAUCCCAAACAAGAGCCCCAAAAUCCCAAAAAAAGAGCCCUGAAAUCCCAAAAAAAUCCCCGAAAUCCCCAAAAAAAGAGCCCCAAAUCCCAAAAAUUUCCCAAAAUCCCAAAAAAUUCCCGAAAUCCCAAAAUUUCGCUCACAUUCUUGAAGAAGUGCCGGGCCACGAUGUCGGGGUUGAGCUCCCAGCUCUGGUUGUUCCUCAUCCCCACCUGGAGGCGGCAGCGCCGCAGGAAUUCCAGAGUCUGGAAAAUCGGGAAUGGGAACCGGGAUCGGGGAAUUCCCAAAGUUUUGGGGUUUUUGGGAUCGGGAAAUUCCCGGGGUUUUGGGGUUUUUGGGAUCGGGAAAUUCCCGGAGUUUUGGGGAAAAUUCCCGGAGUUUUGGGGUUUUUGGGAUCGGGGCAAUUCCCGAGGUUUUGGGAUUGGGGAAAUUCCCAAAGUUUUGGGGUUUUUGGGGUUUUUGGGAUUUGGGAAAUUCCCGCAGUUUUGGGGUUUUUGGGGUUUUUGGGAUCGGGGCAAUUCCCGGAGUUUUGGGGUUUUUGGGAUCGGGGAAAUUCCCAAAGUUUUGGGGUUUUUGGGAUCAGGAAAUUCCCGGGGUUUUGGGAUUUGGGAAAUUCCCAGAGUUUUGGGGUUUUUGGGAUUGGGGAGAUUCCCGGGGUUUUGGGGUUUUUGGGAUCCGGGCAAUUCCCGGAGUUUUGGGGUUUUGGGAUUGGGGAAUUCCCAGAGUUUUGGGGUUUUUGGGAUCGGGGCAAUUCCCAGAGUUUUGGGGUUUUUGGGAUCGGGGCAAUUCCUGGAGUUUUGGGGUUUUUGGGAUUUGGGAAAUUCCCAGAGUUUUGGGGUUUUUGGGACUGGGAAAUUCCCGCAGUUUUGGGGUUUUUGGGAUUUGGGAAAUUCCCGGAGUUUUGGAGUUUUUGGGAUCGGGGAAAUUCCCAAAGUUUUGGGGUUUUUGGGAUCAGGAAAUUCCCGGAGUUUUGGGGUUUUGGGGUUUUUGGGAUCGGGGCCAUUCCCGCAGUUUUGGGGUUUUUGGGAUUGGGGAAUUCCCAGAAUUUUGGGGUUUUUGGGAUUGGGGCAAUUCCCGGAGUUUUGGGGGUUUUGGGAUCGGGGAAAUUCCCAAAGUUUUGGGGUUUUUGGGUUUUUGGGAUUUGGGAAAUUCCCGCAGUUUUGGGGUUUUUGGGAUCGAGGCAAUUCCCGGAGUUUUGGGGUUUUGGGGUUUCUGGGAUCCGGGGAAAUUCCCGGAGUUUUGGGGUUUUGGGAUCAGGGAAAUUCUCGGAGUUUUGGGGUUUUUGGGAUCAGGGAAAUUCUCGGAGUUUUGGGGUUUUUGGGAUUGGGGAAAUUCCCGGGGUUUUGGGAUUUGGGAAAUUCCCAGAGUUUUGGGGUUUUUGGGAUUGGGGAGAUUCCCGGAGUUUUGGGGUUUUUGGGAUCGGGGCAAUUCCCGGAGUUUUUGGGGUUUUGGGAUCGGGGAAAUUCUCGGGGUUUGGGGUUUUUGGGAUUGGGGAAAUUCCCGGAGUUUUGGGAUCGGGAAAUUCCCGGAGUUUUGGGAUCGGGAAAUUCCUGGAGUUUUGGGGUUUUUGGGUU